UAUUUAGAUGAUGUAACUCUGUGCCACUGGCUGCCAACCAGACAUGUAUCCGGCAAUGUUCAACAUUAUAUAAUGAUAUUGUCAGCCCGUCUGUGAGUAUUUCGGUUGGAAACAUCAACACAAUAGAAAUGGAUAUCAAGAAAGUGGUUGGUAACGUGGUUUUAAUCGUGCUCCUCAUAAAUGCUGUGGCUGGUUUACCCAAUAUAAGUAAAUGUUAUGGUUCAGAUCCUGGGGUACUGAACUGCCGACGGGCCGACCAUCUGUGGCACUUCGACGGCAACAACUGUGUUAAGAGGCCAAUCCAAUGCUACGACGUUAGCCCACAUGAUAACGCAUUCUAUACCAUAGCGGCAUGUCAGAAUCUGUGUGAACGGUAUGCCUAGUAAAUGGUUGUCUGGGAAGACAAAACAGCAUAAGAAGUUUCUAAUACUAUAUGUAUAAAGAACAGAUAUGACCUUGUGAAAUAAAUCUAAUGAUAGAUAUUAAUUCAUUAAAAGUGUCUAACAUCU
Molecule: long non-coding RNA, 509 nt
Organism: Ruditapes philippinarum (Manila clam)
Lineage: Eukaryota; Metazoa; Mollusca; Bivalvia; Venerida; Veneridae
Exons: 2
Source: RefSeq, a predicted model, not a curated record